Molecule: long non-coding RNA, 1156 nt
Organism: Acinonyx jubatus (cheetah)
Lineage: Eukaryota; Metazoa; Chordata; Mammalia; Carnivora; Felidae
Exons: 3
Source: RefSeq, a predicted model, not a curated record
UUGUGAAGAGAAAAAAUCCAAAAUUACCUGUGUGGCAAGUCCCCACGGUGUCCUUCACUUGUGUUCACAUGAGCACGUUCUCUCGUGUCCCGUGUCACAGGUACAGCUAAAACAUGGAAACUUACACCAGACAUCAAAGUGCAUUUGUGUUAAUUUUGUCUUUUAGAAUUUCAGCUCAUUUUUCCAGAGGACACACUUACCCUCCAAAGUGUACUGCACUCAAGCUGAGAAGUACCUCCGAACUAAAAUAAAUUAGCUGAACCCAACUAACAUGCUAUUUUGUAUGCAAGAGUCCUGGUCCUUUCCCAGGAUUGCCUUGCAGGCUGUACCCCGCGGACCACCCUUCACCACCAGUCAUGGGCUAUAGGCCACAUCCCCCUCCUCCAUCUACUCUAUUUGUUAAGAGGACCUGAACUGGCUGAGUGGCUGGACAACUCUGUUGAAAUUUGAAGAGGACUGUGCACGGUGACAGACAAUCGUGUUUGUAUAUAUUUUAAGAAGGUGUCCGAUCUACCUGAAUGCUUUCCCUGCCCAUCCUGUCCCCUCCACUUUGUCCUUCCUACUGUCCCCUAAUCUACCUUUCAUUGUUUUGUCUCUGUGUCAGCGUCUGCUUCUAGGGCCAUCUACUCUCGCUCCCCAUUGAGUGCACACAGGGGGGUUCCUGUACACACAGGUAACAAAGUGCCACAAAUGGUGGUGAGGGAGGAUAGAAGCAAGAUCACACUUUGUGCAGGGGAGCCUGAGGGAGUUUUCCGGGGCGAUGGGAACUCCCUAUAUCUAGAUUGAUGGGGUGCAUAUGCUCAAUUAUUUUGGAAAUAUCCCCUGACUCCAUGGUGCCUUGGGAUCAGACAGGUAUCUGUCCUUAGGAAAUGGCUGAGAUCUAAUGGUGGAGAAGGAUGAGGGACCAGCAGUGACUGUCGAGAGGAGUGAGGGUCAGACCCACGCCCAGGGUGCCAGGUCCCCACAGACAGCACCACGUGUAGGAGGGCUCUGAGGAGCAGAGAUUUCUUGAUCAGACCCAUGAACUACAUAAUCCUCCUGUAGUUUCCUCACUGAGCGAUGGCUAGAGCAGAGGCCAGCAGCUGGAGGACACCCUGAUCAUGGCUGGAGUGGAGCAGUGGGCCUGGGGGAUUGAGUCAGGGAAAGGGACAGGGAG